This is a long non-coding RNA of Pantherophis guttatus, 815 nucleotides long. RefSeq lists it as uncharacterized. Lineage: Eukaryota; Metazoa; Chordata; Lepidosauria; Squamata; Colubridae. The record is from RefSeq and is a predicted model, not a curated record.
ACCUACACAAGUGUGGGGUGUGAUCAGAAGGGAACAGGUGGAAGGAGGACUUGGCCCCAUCAUGCAGAGCAGCCACAAUGCACUCCUUUGGGACCACAGCAAGCACCGAGUUCUCACAGAAGAUGCGGAAUAAUUGAAAUCUCCUUCUGGUGACCUUCAUCGUCUGACACACAACUUCUCUUCUGGCAGAGCUGACAGGCGGGCGACAGCACAGCCCCAUGCAGCCUCGCACAUGGAGAGACCCUUGUGCACAGGGCGUCUUUAUGCAGGCACCCCGACCACCAAGAAGCACUCCUGGGCUGCUCCAAGAGAGCAAUGGGAUGCAAACAGUCCAUCCCGAGGAAGCCUGAGGAGCAGCAUCAGCCACUCCACUGUCCGGAUUAAGCCUCACCAGCACCACCAUCUCCUCACCAGGCACUCGCCAAGGUCACUCCGGCCUCAGUUCAGAAGCUUCAUGCGCCAUACAUGCAGCCAGACUUUUGGUGGCACAGUAUUGGAAGAAGGAAGACUUACCUACUAUUGAAGAAUGGACAUUAAAAGUAGUGAAUUUAGCAGAGAUGGCAAAAAUUUCGGCAUACUUGAAGGACCAUUCAAAUGAAAGAUAUAUAUUGGAAUGGAGAAGAUGGAUUGACUAUAUUCAAAACAAAUAUCGGACUAAAAAGUUUCAAAUAGCCUAUGAAUGAAAUCAACCUUUUUCUUUUUGAAUUAUGUUUUGUUAGUUGAAAGGGGAGUCAAAGAGCAAGAGGGAGUUUAGAGCCUACAGAAAGUUAGCAUAUUUUAGUUUAUGUUUGUUAAAUGUUAUACCCUGUAUUUGC